This 329-nucleotide ribosomal RNA is filed under the name uncultured eukaryote. Its description in RNAcentral is "partial 18S ribosomal RNA". It matches the Rfam family "Eukaryotic small subunit ribosomal RNA", at positions 1470 to 1796 of the family's 1831-position model. The record is from RNAcentral.
CCCUUAGAUGUUCUGGGCCGCACGCGCGCUACACUGAUGCAUUCAACGAGUCUAAAACCUGCUCUGAUAGGGGUGGGUAAUCUUUUGAACGUGCAUCGUGAUUGGGAUAGAUGAUUGCAAUUUUUCAUCUUCAACGAGGAAUGCCUAGUAAACGCAAGUCAUCAGCUUGCAUUGAUUACGUCCCUGCCCUUUGUACACACCGCCCGUCGCUCCUACCGAUUGAAUGAUCUGAUGAAUAUCAUGGAUUGAGGAUGCAAGUAGGUUCGCCUAUCUUCAUCUUCGAGAAGUGAAGUAAAUCUUAUCAUUUAGAGGAAGGAGAAGUCGUAACA